RNAcentral lists this transfer RNA (75 nucleotides) under Candidatus Woesebacteria bacterium. Its description in RNAcentral is "tRNA-Arg". It matches the Rfam family "tRNA". From Rfam's summary of the family: Transfer RNA (tRNA) molecules are approximately 80 nucleotides in length. Their secondary structure includes four short double-helical elements and three loops (D, anti-codon, and T loops). Further hydrogen bonds mediate the characteristic L-shaped molecular structure. tRNAs have two regions of fundamental functional importance: the anti-codon, which is responsible for specific mRNA codon recognition, and the 3' end, to which the tRNAs corresponding amino acid is attached (by aminoacyl-tRNA synthetases). tRNAs cope with the degeneracy of the genetic code in two manners: having more than one tRNA (with a specific anti-codon) for a particular amino acid; and 'wobble' base-pairing, i.e. permitting non-standard base-pairing at the 3rd anti-codon position. Lineage: Bacteria; Candidatus Woeseibacteriota. The record is from RNAcentral. RNAcentral also lists the same sequence under 1 other name.
GCUUCUGUAGUUCAGUGGAUAGAACGUUGGUUUCCGGAACCAAAGACGGGGGUUCGAUUCCCUUCAGAAGCACCA